Molecule: non-coding RNA, 798 nt
Organism: Cucurbita pepo subsp. pepo (vegetable marrow)
Lineage: Eukaryota; Viridiplantae; Streptophyta; Magnoliopsida; Cucurbitales; Cucurbitaceae
Source: RefSeq, a predicted model, not a curated record
CUCUACAAAGCUCUACAUUGCACCGCCACUCACUAACCGCCGAUUCUGGAACUGUUUUCGUUUCCAAUCUUGAUUCGUCUCUUUCCAGUAGCCUUGUAUUUGACGAAUCAAUCGCCGGUUGUGCUCGAAAUGGCGAGCUAUCUAUGGAGGAAGUAUGCCGAUUAUCUCUACACUAAGUGGGAAAGAACGAUUCUAUGGGACAUGGUUGAUCCGUAUAGGCGACCUAAAUCGUUUACGCCUUUGGUUACUAUCUAUAUUGCUGCCUUUUACACUGGAGUCGUCGGCGCUGCCAUUACCGAGCAACUCUACAAGGAGAAGUAUUGGGAAGAUCACCCUGGGGAAGAUGUACCUCUAAUGAAACCAAAGUUUUAUUAUGGACCCUGGAGAGUAAUGAGGGGUGAAGUCCCUGCACACACCAAGUGAAAGCUCUAGCAAGUUAAUGGCUCGAGUAUUUGCUGUUUGCUCAAGAAACUGGCUCUACCAAAAUGGCUUCAACCUCCUUCUUCCUUACAUGGCACCCUCCACUUUCACUCCCCCUGCCCUCCUCUCAAUGUCUUCCCCGUCCCCUUCCCCCGACCCCAUCUCUGUAACAGGCAAAGGAGGAGGGAUAUGGGGACGUAUGGAACAAUUCCAACAGAGCCAGUCCCUUUAUCAAACCUGCAUUACACUUCUUAGGCAAGCGCAUGCAUCGCAUUAGGCCUCAGCUCACGAAGGCCAUGGAAGGCCAUUUCUGAGCUUUUGUGAUGUCCCACGUUGGUUGGGGAAGAGAACAAACCACCAUUUACAAGGGUGUGGAAA